GAUGAACGCUGGCGGCGUGCCUAAUACAUGCAAGUCGAGCGAAUGGAUUAAGAGCUUGCUCUUAUGAAGUUAGCGGCGGACGGGUGAGUAACACGUGGGUAACCUGCCCAUAAGACUGGGAUAACUCCGGGAAACCGGGGCUAAUACCGGAUAACAUUUUGAACCGCAUGGUUCGAAAUUGAAAGGCGGCUUCGGCUGUCACUUAUGGAUGGACCCGCGUCGCAUUAGCUAGUUGGUGAGGUAACGGCUCACCAAGGCAACGAUGCGUAGCCGACCUGAGAGGGUGAGCGGCGACACGGGGACUGAGACACGGCCCAGGCUCCUACGGGAGGCAGCAGUAGGGAAUCUUCCGCAAUGGACGAAAGUCUGACGGAGCAACGCCGCGUGAGUGAUGAAGGCUUUCGGGUCGUAAAACUCUGUUGUUAGGGAAGAACAAGUGCUAGUUGAAUAAGCUGGCACCUUGACGGUACCUAACCAGAAAGCCACGGCUAACUACGUGCCAGCCGCCGCAGUAA
This 515-nucleotide ribosomal RNA is filed under the name uncultured bacterium. RNAcentral's name for it is "partial 16S ribosomal RNA". It matches the Rfam family "Bacterial small subunit ribosomal RNA", at positions 28 to 523 of the family's 1533-position model. The record is from RNAcentral.